AGGACUAAGAAACUUGAGGCUAGGCUGACCCCAUGGUUGUUAUGAUUAGAAAUCCGAGGCCACUGGAAACCCGGAGCUGCUGACCAACGAGUCACAGGGUAACUUCGCCUUCGCAUGGGGAAACGGGCUGGUGCAGUGGUGUCAUCUUGGCUCAGUGCAGCCUCGACUUCCUGGGAUCCAGCGAUCCUCCCGCUUCAGCCUCUAGAGUAGCCGAGACCACAGGUCACCCCUCGCUGCCAGGCUCUCUUCCCGGUCCAGAGCCCACAGGAUCCUACAGGAGGGGCCAACAACUGCUUGCCUUUGAAACUUGAAACUCUCGGUCUAAGGUUCCUUAGGAGCGUAAAAGGCACAGCGUUUUCUGAUCGCAGCUUCAGGUCUCCCGCCCCUGUCCCGGUACCUCUCCUGCAGGACGGAACUCUGUGGGAACGCUCGUUGAUUCUGAUGGUUAACUGUCAGAUAUCCUUGAUAUUGGACAUAGGAUUUGGAAGAGGGCAGGAGAGAAAAAUGAACUGCAAGACUCCAGCACAAGAGGUGGGAUUGCUGGCAGAUGUCUGCUCCCUCUCCAAACCUAAUGAACAUCUCAAAGUGCCAUCCACUUUCCUAUACCCUUGAUCUGUGAAAUGGAUCACUGACGCUUUCUCUGUCUUUCCGGAAAUGCAAAACAGGAACAGAAACAACACACUCAGACUUGAGAAACUGGUCUGGUUUAAAAGGGUUCCUGGCCUUACAGGUCCUGAAGAAAUUUUUCCAGAUGAAUUAGUGAUCAUCUCCCAACUAUUUGGACUUUGGUGUCUGCCAUUCUGUAUAUAACAGAACAUACUAUAAAAGCACAGUCUGUACUGGACAGAAUCAUUUACUCCCUUUCCUAGACCAGCCACGUAGCUUGGCCUGAUCUGGAGGCUAAAAUAUGGAGCCCCAUUCAUCAUCUUUGGAAGAGCUGUCUUGAAGGCAGCAUGUCCAGAGCCCCACAUGCCACCAGACUUAAGCCUAAAGUAAGCUGGGAUUGGGCAAUGGACAACUUCACUGCACUGAGCCACCACUGCCAAUGUCCCCAGUUCUGUGCACAUAUGAAGUACAGUGCAUUCAGGCUGCCAUGCUGGGCUUACAUAGGCUAGAGUCAUUUCUGAAGUUUAAAGGGGACAAAAAUGUUGUUGAGACCCACACUCUGGGGCCAAUGGCUGAAACCACAGAAGAGCUACACUCACUUGAAAAAUAAGUGUAUGCUGAGAUCGUUCGAAGAUGGCUGAAUAGGAACAGCUCCAGUCUAAAGCUCCCAGCGUGAGCAACACAGAAGACAGGUGAUUUCUGCAUUUCCAACUGAGCUUUGAAGAGAGCAGUUGUUCUCCCAGCAUGGAGUUUGAGAUCUGAGAACGGACAGACUGCCUCCUUAAGUGGGUCCCUGGCCCCCGAGUAGCCUAACUGGGAGACACCUCCCAGUAGGGGCCAACUGACACCUCAUACAGCCGGGUGCCCCUCUGAGACGAAGCUUCCAGAGGAAGGAUCAGGAAGCAACAUUUGCUAUUCUGCAAUAUUUGCUGUUCUGCAGCCUCCACUGGUGAUACCCAGGCAAAUAAGGUCUGGAGUGGACCUCCAGCAAACUCCAACAGACCUGCAGCUGAGGGUUCUGACUGUUAGGAGGAAAACUAACAAACAGAAAGGAAUAGUAUCAACACCAACAAAAAGGACAUCCACACCAAACCCCAUCUGUAGGUUACCAUCAUCAAAGACCAAAGGUAGAUAAAACCACAAAGAUGGGGAGAAACCAGAGCAGAAAAGCUGAAAAUUCUAAAAUCAGAGCAUUUCUUCUCCUCCAAAGAAUCACAGCUCCUCGCCAUCAACGGAACAAAGCUGGACAGAGAAUAACUUUGACGAGGUGACAGAAGUAGGCUUCAGAAGAUCGGUAAUAACAAACUUCUCCGAGCUAAAGGAGGAUGUUCAAACUCAUCGCAAAGAAGCUAAAAACCUUGAAAAAAGAUUAGACGAAUGGCUAACUGGAAUAAACAGCAUAGAGAAGACCUUAAAUGACCUGAUGGAGCUGAAAACCAUGGCACAAGUACUACGUGAUGCAUGCACAAGCUUCAGUAGCCGAUUUGAUCAAGUGGAAGAAAGCGUAUCAGUGAUUGAAGAUCAAAAGAAUGAAAUGAAGUGAGAAGUUAGAGGAAAAAAGAGUAAAAAGAAAUGAACAAAGCCUCCAAGAAAUAUGGGACUAUGUGAAAGGGCCAAAUCUACAUUUGAUUGGUGUACCUGAAAGUGACAGGGAGAAUGGAACCAAGUUGGAAAACACUCUUCAGGAUAUUAUCCAGGAGAACUUCCCCAACCUAGCAAGGCAGGUCAACAUUCAAAUUUAGGAAAUGCAGAGAAUGCCACAAAGAUACUCCUCAAGAAGAGCAACCCCAAGACACAUAAUCGUCAGAUUCACCAAGGUUGAAAUGAAGGAAAAAAAGGUUAAGGGCAGCCAGAGAGAGGUCAGGUUACCCACAAAAGGAAGCCCAUCAGACUAACGGUGGCUCUCUCAGCAGAAACUCUACAAGCCAGAAGAGAGUGGGGGCCAAUAUUCAACAUUCUUAAAGAAUUUUCAACCCAGAAUUUCAUAUCCAGCCAAACUAAGCUUCAUAAGUGAAGGAAACAUAAAAUCCUUUACAGACAAGCAAGUGCUGAGAGAUUUUGUCACCACCAGGCCUGCCUUACAAGAGCUCCUGAAGGAAGCACUAAAGGAACAACCGGUACCAGCCACUGCAAAACAUGCCAAAUUGUAAAGACCAUUGGUGCUAGGAAGAAACUGCAUCAACUAACAAGCAAAAUAACCAGCUAACAUCAUAAUGACAAGAUCAAGUUCACACGUAACAAUACUAACCUUAAAUGUAAAUGGGCUAAAUGCCCCAAUUAAAAGACACAGACUGGCAAAUUGGAUAAAGAGUCAAGACCCAUCAGUGUGCUGUAUUCAGGAGACCCAUCUCACCUGCAGAGACACACAUAGGCUCAAAAUAAAGAGAUGGAGGAAGAUCUACCAAGCAAAUGGAAAACAAAAAAAGCAGGGGUUGCAAACCCACUCUCUGAUAAAACAGAUUUUAAACCAACAAAGAUCAAAAGAGACAAAAGAGACAAAGAAGGCCAUUACAUAAUGGUAAAGGGAUCAAUUCAACAAGAAGAGCUAACUAUCUUAAAUAUAUAUGCACCCAAUACAGGAGCACCCAGAUUCAUAAAGCAAGCCCUUAGAGACCUACAAAGAGACUUAGACUCCCACACAAUAAUAAUGGGAGACUUUAACACUCCACUCUCAACAUUAGACAGAUCAACAAGACAGAAAGUUAACAAGGAUAUCCAGGACUUGAACUCAGCUCUGCACCAAGUGGACCUAAUAGACAUCUACAGAACUCUCCACCCCAAAUCAACAGAAUAUAUACAUUCUUCUCAGCACCACACUGCACUUAUUCCAAAAUUGACCACAUAGUUGGAAGUAAAGCACUCCUCAGCAAACGUAAAAGUACAGAAAUUAUAACAAACUGUCUCUCAGACCAUAGUGCAAUCAAAUUAGAACUCAGGAUUAAGAAACUCACUCAAAACCGCAAAACUACAUGGAAAUUGAAUAACCUGCUCCUGAAUGACUACUGGGUACAUAACUAAAUGAAGGCAGAAAUAAAGAUGUUCUUUGAAACCAAUGAGAACAAAGACACAACAUACCAGAAUCUCUGGGACACAUUUAAAGCAGUGUGUAGAGGGAAAUUUAUAGCACUAAAUGCCCACAAGAGAAAGCAGGAAAGAACUAAAACUGACACGCUAACAUCACAAUUAAAAGAACUAGAGAAGCAAGAGCAAACAUAUUCAAAAGCUAGCAGAAGGCAAGAAAUAACUAAGAUCAGAGCAGAACUAAAGGAGACAGAGACACAAAAAACCCUUCAAAACAUCAAUGGUAUCCAGGAGCUGGUUUUUGGAAAAGAUCAACAAAAUUGAUAGACCACUAGCAAGACUAAUAAAGAAGAAAAGAGAGAAGAAUCAAAUAGACGCAAUAAAAAAUGAUAAAGGGGAUAUCACCACCGAUCCCACGGAAAUACAAACUACCAUCAGAGAAUACUAUAAACACCUCUAUGUAAAUAAACUAGAAAACCUAAAAGAAAUGGAUAAAUUCCUGGACACAUCCACCCUCCCAAGACUAAACCAGGAAGAAGUUGAAUCCCUGAAUAGACCAAUAACAGGCUCUGAAAUUGAGGCAAUAAUUAAUAGCCUACCAACCAAAAAAAGUCCAGGACCAGAUGGAUUCACAGCCAAAUUCUGUCAGCGGUAGGAAGAGGAGCUGGUACCAUUCCUUCUGAAAUUAUUCCAAUCAGUAGAAAAAGAUGGAAUCCUCCCUAACUCAUUUUAUGAGGCCAGCAUCAUCCUGACACCAAAGCCUGGCAGAGACACAACAAAAAAAGAGAAUUUUAGGCCAAUAUCACUGAUGAACAUCGAUGCAAAAAUCCUCAAUAAAAUACUGGCAAACUGAAUCCAGCAGCACAUCAAAAAGCUUAUCCACCAUGAUCAAGUUGGCUUCAUCCCUAGGGUGCAAGGCUCAUUCAACAUACACAAAUCAAUAAACCUAAUCCAUCAUAUAAACAGAACCAAAGACAAAAACCACAUGAUUAUCUCAAUAGAUGCAGAAAAGACCUUCAACAAAAUUCAACAACGCCUCAUGCUAAAAACUCUCAAUAAACUAGGUAUUGAUGGGACUUAUCUCAAAAUAAUAAGAGCUAUCUAUGACAAACCCACAGCCAAUAUCAUACUGAAUGGGCAAAAACUGGAAGCAUUCCCUUUGAAAACUGGCACAAGACAGGGAUGCCCUCUCUCACCACUCCUAUUCAACAUAGUGUUGGAAGUUCUGGCCAGGGCAAUCAGGCAGGAGAAAGAAAUAAAGGGUAUCCAUUUAGGAAAAGAGGAAGUCAAAUCCUCCCUGUUUGCAGAUAACAUGAUUGUAUAUCUAGAAAAUCCCAUCGUCUCAGCCCAAAAUCUCCUUAAGCUGAUAAGCAACUUCAGCAAAGUCUCAGGAUACAAAAUCAAUGUGCAAAAAUCACAAGCAUUCCUAUACAACAAUAACAAACAGAGAGCCAAAUACUGAGUGAACUCCCAUUCACAAUUGCUUCAAAGAGAAUAAAAUACCUAGGAAUCCAACUUACAAGGGAUGUGAAGGACCUCUUCAAGGAGAACUACAAACCACUGCUCAAUGAAAUAAAAGAGGACACAAACAAAUGGAAGAACAUUCCAUGCUCAUCGAUAGGAAGAAUCAGUAUUGUGAAAAUGGGCAUACUGCCCAAGGUAAUUUAUAGAUUUUUUUUUUUUAUUUUUUGAGACGGAGUCUCGCUCUGUUGCCCAGGCUAGAGUGCAGUGGCUUGAUCUUGGCUCACUGCAAGCUCCGCCUCCCGGGUUCAUGCCAUUCUCCUGCCUCAGCCUCCCAAGUGGCUAGGACUACAGGCACCCACCACAAUGCCCGGCUAAUUUUUUGUAUUUUUUUAGUAGAGACAGGGUUUCACCAUGUUAACCAGGAUGGUCUGGAUCUCCUGACCUCGUGAUCCGCCCACCUCAGCCUCCCAAAGUGCUGGGAUUACAGGCAUGAGCCACCGCGCCCGGCCGGUAAUUUAUAGAUUUAAUGCCAUCCCCAUCAAGCUACCAAUGACUGUCUUCACAGAAUUGGAAAAAGCUACUUUAAAGUUCACAUGGAACCAAAAAAGAGCCCACAUUGCCAAGACUGUGGGGGAAAUAAAGAGAGAUCAGGCUGUUACUGUGUCUAUGCAGAAAGAAGAAGACAUAAGAAACUCCAUUUUGUUCUGUAGUAAGAAAAAUUCUUCUGCCUUGAGAUGCUAUUAAUCUGUAACGCUAGCCCCAACCCUGUGGUCACAGAAAUAUUUGCUGUGUUGACUCAAGGUUUAAUGGAUAUAGGGCUGUGCAGGAUGUGCUUUGUUAAAAAUGUGUUUGCACGCAGUAUGCUUGGUAAAAGUCAUCACCCUUCUCUGGUCUCAAGUACCCAGGGACACAAUGCACUGUCGAAGGCCACAGGGACCUCUGCCCAAGAACGCCUGGGUAUUGUCCAAGGUUUCUCCCCACUGAGACAGCCUGAGACAUGGCCUCGUGGGAAGGGAAAGACCUUACCGUCCCCCAGCCCGAUACCCAUAAAGGGUCUGUGCUGAGGAGGAUUAGUGAAAGAGGAAGGCCUCUUUGCAGUUGAGAUAAGAGGAAGGCAUCUGUCUCCUGCUCGUCCCCGGGAAUGGAAUGUCUUGGUGUAAAACCCGAACGUACAUUCUAUUUACUGAGAUGGGAGAAAACUGCCUUAUGGCUGGAGGUGAGACAUGCUGGCGACAAUACUGCUCUUUACUGCACUGAGAUGUUUGUGUAAAGUCAAACAUAAAUCUGGCCUACAAGCACAUCGAGGCACAGCACCUUUCCUUAAACUUAUUUAUGACACAGAGUCCUUUGUUCACAUGUUUUCCUGCUGACCCUCUCCCCACCCUGCCACAUCCCCCUCACCAAGAUAGUAGAGAUAGUGAUCAAUAAAUACUGAGGGAACUCAGAGACCAGAGCCGGUGCGGGUCCUCCAUAUGCUGAGCGCUGGUCCUCUGGGCCCACUGUUCUUUCUCUAUACUUUGUCUCUGUGUCUUAUUUCUUUUCUCAGUCUCUCAUCACACCUGAUGAGAAAUACCCACAGGUGUGGAGGGGCUGGCCCCCUUCAAAGACAAUCCUAAGCAAAAAGAACAAAACUGGAGGCAUCAUGCUACCUGACUUCAAAGGAUACUACAAGGCUACAGUAACCAAAACAGCAUGGUACUGGUACCAAAACAGAGAGAUAAACCAAUGGAAGAGAACAGAGCCCUCAGAAAUAAUACCAUACAUCUACAACCAUCUGAUCUUUGACAAACCUGACAAAAACAAGAAAUGGGGAAAGGAUUCCCUAUUUAAUAAAUAGUGCUGGGAAAACUGGCUAGCCAUAUGUAGAAAGCUAAAACUGGAUCCUUUCCUUACACCUUAUACAAAAAUUAAUUCAAGAUGGAUUAAAGACUUAAAUAUUAGACCUAAAAACCAUAAAAACCCUAGAAGAAAACCUAGGCAAUACCAUUCAGGACACAAGCAUGGGCAAUGACUUCAUGACUAAAACACCAAAAGCAAUGGCAACAAAAGCCAAAAUUGACAAAUGGGAUCUAAUUAAACUAAAGAGCUUCUGCACAGCAAAAGAAACCACCAUCAGAGUGAAGAGGCAACCUACAGAAUGGGAGAAAAUUUUUGCAAUCUACCCAUCUGACAAAGGGCUAAUAUCCAGAAUCUACAAAGAACUUAAACAAGUUUACAAGAAAAAAUCAAACAACCCCAUCACAAAGUGGGCAAAGGAUAUGAACAGACACUUCUCAAAAGAAGACAUUUAUGCAGCCAACAGACACAUGAAGAAAUGCUCAUCAUCACUGGUCAUCAGAGAAAUGCAAAUCAAAACCACAAUGAGAUACCAUCUCACACCAGUUAGAAUGACGAUCAUUAAAAAGUCAUGAAACAACAGAUGCUGGAGAGGAUGUGGAGAAACAGGAACACUCUUACACUGUUGAUGGGAGUGUGAAUUGGUUCAACCAUUGCGGAAGACAGUGUGGUGAUUCCUCAAGGAUCUGGAACUAGAAAUACCAUUUGAUCCAGCCAUCCCAUUACGGGGUAUAUACCCAAAGGAUUAUAAAUCAUGUUACUAUAAAGACACAUGCACAUGUAUGUUUACUGCAGCACUAUUUACAAUAGCAAAGACUUGUAACCAACCCAAAUGUCCAUCAAUGAUAGACUGGAUUAAGGAAAUGUGGCACAUAUACACCAUGGAAUACUAUGCAGCCAUAAAAAAGGAUGAGUUCAUGUCCUUUGCAGGGACAUGGAUGAAACUGGAAACCAUCAUUCUGAGCAAACUACCACAAGGACAGAAAACCAAACACUACACGCUCUCACUCAUAGGUGGGAAUUGAACAAUGAGAACACUUGGACACAGGGUAGGGAAUAUCACACACCCAGGCCUGUCAUGGGGUGGGGGGAGGGAGGAGGGAUAACAUUGGGAGGAAUAUCUAAUGUAAAUGAUGAGUUAAUGGGUGCAGCACACCAACUUGGCACAUGUAUAUGUAUGUAACAAACCUGCACAUUGUGCACAUGUACACUCGAACUUAAAAGUAUAAUAAAAAAAUUUUAAAAAGAAAGUAGCAUUUUAGAAAACAACUUCUCAAUAAAUAGCCUAUAAACAAAAAAAAAAGUAAAAAGAAAAAUAAGUGCAUCCUAUAGACAACACAACACAAUGGGCCAUGACCCAGCCAGGACAUGCCAACCUGUGAAGCUGGACAGAUAGAUGCCUAGAGCAGAGCCCAGGCUGCCCACAAGAAAUUGCUGAAAACUAAGGCUUAGGACAGACUGGAACCCAGAAAAGAAAGGAACCCCGGUCUUGGUCAUGGUUCAUGGCACCACUCCUUUAUAACAAUGCCCUAGAAGAAGCCCAUGCACCUCAGUGGGAGCACUCAUGCUGUUCUUGGGGAACCUUCAUAGGACUGUGCCCUGCCUUGAGCUGGAAGUCUCUGCAGUAGACAUCCUUCCAUAUUUUGUUCUUCAUCUUCUGAACGCCUUCAAGGUUUUUCAAUUGGAAAAAUUCUAUCUGCAUAAUCAACAAUGUGCUAAGGAACUCUACUUUUAGAUCUUCUUAGAAUUCAUAGUUCUUUGUACAUGAGGAUUAAAGCAUUCUUCUGUAUUCUCCACUUGUGAAAUAGAUUUGAGGUUGGUGGAGUCAGGAUUGGAAACACAUACAGGUGGGCAGGGGCAUGAAAGGGACUGGGACCCAGAUCAGAGCUGGAGGCUGAACUCCAGGGAGCCUUUGAAUAGCUAUGGAUAUCACCAGGGUGGGAAGGGACAGUGCUCCACUGUCCUGGGAUUCUCUUGAAACUGAGCUUGGCCUCCCUGCUGAGAGCAGAGAACAACCAUCAAUAAAUAUUCCUUCAAUGGUCUGAAGUUUACGUUUACAGGGUGGAGGUGGAAAUUAAAUUUAGGGAGCCAUGAGGAAGACCCCCAGCCCUGUGCCUUUUGAAUUGACAACCAUGGCAUUUCAGGGCAUCAGCUCCAGGUCAGGCAUUCUCAGGCAGUUGCAUAAUUCUGCCAAUGUGGGGCCCGCCCACCUCAAAAAUCCACAUGGAUUGGAUCCAGCAAAACCAAAUAUUCAGCAAAACUUCAAGAUCUAGCAACACUGAAGGCUCAAGUACAUCACCGGUGCAUACUUGGCCCAAGGAGGCUAUUCUCUCACAAUCUCUACCCAGCUCCGGGCCUGCAGCAUCUGAGACUCACUCCUUCAAGCUGCAGGUAUCCCAGGAAAAAGAUUUAUGCAUCCUCAUAGCUUCAACAUGCAGUGUGUCAGGCACAGAAAAAUGGUUGUCUUCAGAAAGUGAUAAAAAAAACAUGCAGUAGCAAUCACCCUUUGGACUUUGAAACUUUUCUGUCACCUUAGAUGUCAGAAACUAAAACCCAGAAACUUGGUGUUGGCAUUAAUUUGGUCUAGCUAUGAAGACUUUUUUUUUUUUUUUUUCACACAGUGACAGUUCUGAAUUUGAAUAUAAAGGAGCUUAGGUGCUAUAAUCUGAAUGGAACGUGGGAAUAAAACUGUCUUUGCCUUGUACUUCUUGUUAGAUUAAUUAAAUACCAAUUAUCAGUAUAAGAAAAUGGCAAUAAAUUGUCAAAGUGGAAUUGGAAAGUGUUUUUAGGAUUUGGAUAUGAAGCAGGCUUCCCAUGUGACCAUUCUCACUUCUUAUUCUGAAGUCUAACACUCUGCUUUUCUUUCUCUCCCUCUCUUCAUUGAUUCUUCUAGUGGCUGGUGUUUGGGUAUUGUGGGAACUGAGCUUUCAUCUCCUAUGUUAGCCAUAGAGAUGAGGGCUUUGAGGGCACCAUGGAAUCCGAUUGCUGGAAAUAAAUCAAUCUUAAAGGAAAGGAAAAUUUAAAAAUCAGGUGCAACAAAAGCAAAAUGAGAAAACUGCUAAACUCUACAAUUCUAUAAAGAAGAAUUGCAUAAAAAGGAAAUAACAGGAAAAGGUAAGAAAAUUUAAAAGGAUAUCAGAAAAUAUAGCAUACAGGGUCAGAAAGAUUUGAGAAUAUGACGAGAUGGUUUUAGAAGGCAGGAUGGGGCCGGGCACGGUGGCUCAUGCCUAUAAUCCCAGCACUUUGGGAGGCUGAGGCAGACGGAUCACGAGGUCAGGAGAUCGAGACCAUCCUGGCUAACACGGUGAAACCCUGUCUCUACUAAAAAUACAAAAAAAAAAAAAAAAAAAAAAAUUAGCCGGGCGUGUUGGCGGGCACCUGUAGUCCCAGCUACUCGGGAGGCUGAGGCAGGAGAUUGGCGUGAACACGGGAGGCGGAGCUUGCAGUGAGCGGAGAUCGCGCCACUGCACUCCAGCCUGGGAAACAGCGAGACUCUGGCUCAAAAAAAAAAAAAAAAAAAAAAAAAAAGGCAGGAUGGGCUGGGCGCGGUGGUUCACGCCUGUAAUCCCAGCACUUUGGGAGGCCGAGGCGGGCCGAUCGCCUCAGGUCAGGAGUUCGAGACCAGCCUGACCAACAUGGAGAAACCCCGUCUCUACUAAAAAUACAAAAUUAGCCGGGCAUGGUGGCC
This 10615-nucleotide long non-coding RNA is filed under the name Homo sapiens (human). Its description in RNAcentral is "non-protein coding lnc-ZNF131-1:15". The record is from RNAcentral. Lineage: Eukaryota; Metazoa; Chordata; Mammalia; Primates; Hominidae.